GACGAACGCUGGCGGCGUGCUUAACACAUGCAAGUCGAACGGAAAGGCCCUGCUUUUGUGGGGUGCUCGAGUGGCGAACGGGUGAGUAACAAGUGAGUAACCUGCCCUUGACUUUGGGAUAACUUCAGGAAACUGGGGCUAAUACCGGAUAGGAGCUCCUGCUGCAUGGUGGGGGAUGGAAAGUUUCGGCGGUUGGGGAUGGACUCGCGGCAUAUCAGCUUGUUGGUGGGGUAGUGGCUUACCAAGGCUUUGACGGGUAGCCGGCCUGAGAGGGUGACCGGCCACAUUAGGACUGAGAUACGGCCCAGACUCCUACGGGAGGCAGCAGUGCGGAAUAGUGCACAAUGGGCGGAAGCCUGAUGCAGCAACGCCGCGUGCGGGAUGACGGCCUUCGGGUUGUAAACCGCUUUCGCCUGUGACGAAGCGUGAGUGACGGUAAUGGGUAAAAAAGCACCGGCUAACUACGUG
This 468-nucleotide ribosomal RNA is filed under the name uncultured bacterium. RNAcentral's name for it is "partial 16S ribosomal RNA". It matches the Rfam family "Bacterial small subunit ribosomal RNA", at positions 28 to 507 of the family's 1533-position model. The record is from RNAcentral.